GCACACUUGUGUUACGCAUUUUGUUGUAUUUUUUUAUGUAGUGAACUGUAUUUCUUUUGUAAUAUUAUUGUUAAUGUUGUUUUGGCACACAUGUAAUAGAUGUGAGCAAUGUACAGGUCGGCGGGAUUACUUAUCGGCAUUUCGCAGAAUUAAUCGGGUUAUUGUUUAGACUCUCUGCAGACCUGUAUAUUGAAAAAGUGUGCACACGGCAUAUAUAUUGUCCUUGAAACGCCGUUCACAAAUUGUAUUGUUCUUUUAUAUAAUCAUUCUAAGUUCUUCAAUAAAGCAGUUCAGUUGAAGUCUGGUCGAAUCAUUUGAAGGAGGAAGGAAUGUAUUAUAACAAUUUGUUUUUUUAAAACAGUCACUGCGUUAUUUCUACUGCAAAGUAUUGAUAUUAUUUGCAGGUAAUCGCAGAAAAUAGUAAAGUAAUGUUUCCGAAUGUGUUCUCUUAUAAUUAUUUAUGAUUACACUUAUCUCACAUCUUCGUUUUUUAAUUGGAUGAAAGUGUGUGUGUGUUAUACGUAUGUAAAGAUUUCCAUAUAACUUACAAACACACCUUACAUGGCCUUUUUGCGAAACAUCGCGGACGAUUGCUUUAUGUAUAUUGAAUUUCAUUGCUAUAUGGAUGUUGAAGUUGAAUCAAUUAAAAAACAAUUCCAAAACAGCUAACUGCGAUUACCUUUGUGGGAUUUACAUCUAUGUAAAUUGUUUGUACUGGUUUGAAUAACUAAAUAUAUUUCAUGUUGUUCAGUUUAGAUGUCUUAAUUAAUAGCUGCGGCAUUGUUUACAUAUUCGUAUCGCACAUUAUGUGGCAAUUUUUGAAAACUUCUGUUACAAGUUACAGAACAGAUUAUUUCCGUACUUUUGAUUAAGUGCGUUUACUGAAGAAUUGUAUGUACGCACGCCAUCAUACAAAUAAAUGAUUUAAAACAAUUUUAAAACGUUACAAACGUGUUAAUACUUAAUAGAACGAAAGAUUUGACAUACAAAUACAUGUUUCGAACAUUUGGAACUGUUUCGUUUAUCAACGUAAUAACAACGAUUGUUUCCUUGGUCUUUACUCAGGAUUAUUCUAUUUCUUGUAAUAUACAAACAUUUCGUCCUCUCUUUGGAACAUACGAAUGUUUCAUAGUGGUAUUGAAUAAAUGACAUUGUAUUUAGUAGAGUGAAAAUUGUAUCCUUAGGAAUAAACUUGUUGACCCGGAGGGUGUAAUUGUUGUCUACAUUUAAUUAUAUGUUUAGUUUUGUAGAGAAAUAAUUUAUUCGUAUCCCCAAAAUACUCACAAUAUACUGUAUCAUUGCAGUGUAUAAAAAUUUACUUAUGAUUGCCUCUGCAGUAGUAAUAAUUAUGAACACAACAAGAUAAUUUUAAUUAUUUUCACAGCAUUCACAGUAACUGAUGAUCACUAUCCCCCUACGAGGUUCUCCUUCUUCUUGCCGCUUCUACAGUCACCGAUCAUCGCCACCCCCCUACGAGCCUCUCUUUAAGUUAUCUUGCCACAGAUUCCGAUUUUACAGCCACUGAUGAUCGCCGCCCUCCUACGAGCCUCUCUUUAACUUGUCUUGCCACACUUUCAGAUUUUACAGCCACUGAUGAUCGCCGCCCCCGUACGAACUACUGUUUGACUAGCUUUGCCACUCAUUCCGAUUUCACAGUCAUUGAUCAUCGCCGCCCCCCUACGAGCUUAUGUUUAAGUUGCCCAGCCAUAAGUUCCGGUAAGUGUUGCUGAAAAGCUUGACUAACGUUCACUUUUUAUGCAUAUUUCCGACUUUUUUAUGAGGUAUUUUGUAACUAGAAUAUGCAUUAUUUUCACAUUCACCAACGAUGACGUUACUUCUUCCCCUUUGACUUAGAUCCAUCCCCUUCUGCAUGACGCUUCUGCAAAAAUUUCGUAUGUGCCAUGUAAACAUUUUUAUAAUUAAUUUUUCUUUAUUUUUAGGUGUACCAUUGUUACCAAAACCUAUUAUGAGGGAGAGGGGUUUUAGUUGGUAGGUCCUCCUGUUAGGGAAUCCAACACUACCCAGUCGUACGGUCGGCUGGGUGUCUUUCGAAGAUUUCCCCUCUCCCACGAA
Agrilus planipennis (emerald ash borer) is the source of this 2073-nucleotide long non-coding RNA. RefSeq lists it as uncharacterized. The record is from RefSeq and is a predicted model, not a curated record. The transcript is spliced from 5 exons. Lineage: Eukaryota; Metazoa; Arthropoda; Insecta; Coleoptera; Buprestidae.